RNAcentral lists this ribosomal RNA (484 nucleotides) under uncultured bacterium. RNAcentral describes it as "partial 16S ribosomal RNA". It matches the Rfam family "Bacterial small subunit ribosomal RNA", at positions 28 to 523 of the family's 1533-position model. The record is from RNAcentral.
GACGAACGCUGGCGGCGUGCUUAACACAUGCAAGUCGAACGAUGAACCCGGAGCUUGCUCCGGCGGAUUAGUGGCGAACGGGUGAGUAACACGUGAGUAACCUGCCCUUGACUCUGGGAUAACUGCGGGAAACUGUAGCUAAUACCGGAUACGACCCUCGGCGGCAUCGCCAGGGGGUGGAAAGAAUUUCGGUCAAGGAUGGACUCGCGGCCUAUCAGCUAGUUGGUGAGGUAACGGCUCACCAAGGCGACGACGGGUAGUCGGCCUGAGAGGGUGACCGGCCACACUGGGACUGAGACACGGCCCAGGCUCCUACGGGAGGCAGCAGUGGGGAAUAUUGCACAAUGGGCGCAAGCCUGAUGCAACAACGCCGCGUGAGGGAUGACGGCCUUCGGGUUGUAAACCUCUUUUAGUAGGGAAGAAGCGAAAGUGACGGUACCUGCAGAAAAAGCACCGGCUAACUACGUGCCAGCAGCCGCGGUAA